UACGUAGGGUGCAAGCGUUAAUCGGAAUUACUGGGCGUAAAGCGUGCGCAGGCGGUUGUGCAAGACCGAUGUGAAAUCCCCGGGCUUAACCUGGGAAUGGCAUUGGUGACUGCACGGCUAGAGUGUGUCAGAGGGGGGUAGAAUUCCACGUGUAGCAGUGAAAUGCGUAGAGAUGUGGAGGAAUACCGAUGGCGAAGGCAGCCCCCUGGGAUAACACUGACGCCUCAUGCACGAAAGCGUGGGGAGCAAACAGG
RNAcentral lists this ribosomal RNA (254 nucleotides) under uncultured bacterium. RNAcentral describes it as "partial 16S ribosomal RNA". It matches the Rfam family "Bacterial small subunit ribosomal RNA", at positions 524 to 776 of the family's 1533-position model. The record is from RNAcentral.